GGAUAACCUGCCCUUGGGUCCGGCAUAACCCNGGGAAACUGGGGAUAAUUCCGGAUAACGCAUAAUGUGCUGGAAUGCUUUAUGCGUAAAAUGGAUUCGUCUGCCCAAGGAUGGGUCUGCGGCCUAUCAGGUAGUAGUGGGUGUAAUGUACCUACUAGCCGACAACGGGUACGGGUUGUGAGAGCAAGAGCCCGGAGAUGGAUUCUGAGACAUGAAUCCAGGCCCUACGGGGCGCAGCAGGCGCGAAAACUUUACAAUGCGGGAAACCGUGAUAAGGGGACACCGAGUGCCAGCAUCAUAUGCUGGCUGUCCGGGUGUGUAAAAUACACCCGUCAGCAAGGGCCGGGCAAGACCGGUGCCAGCCGCCGCGGUAACACCGGCGGCCCGAGUGGUGAUCGUGAUUAUUGGGUCUAAAGGGUCCGUAGCCGGUUUGGUCAGUCCUCCGGGAAAUCUGAUAGCUCAACUAUUAGGCUUUCGGGGGAUACUGCCAGACUUGGAACCGGGAGAGGUAAGAGGUACUACAGGGGUAGGAGUGAAAUCUUGUAAUCCCUGUGGGACCACCUGUGGCGAAGGCGGCACUCUGGGCCUGUACUGACGCUGAGACGCGAAAGCGUGGGGAGCGAACGGGAUUAGAUACCCCGGUAGUCCACGCCGUAAACGAUGGAUGCUCGGUGUCGGGGGUAUCGACCCCCUCGGCGCCCAAGGUAACCCGGUAAGCAUCCCGCCUGGGGAGUACGGCCGCAAGGUUAAACUCAA
Molecule: ribosomal RNA, 756 nt
Filed under: uncultured archaeon
Lineage: Archaea
Description: bacterial SSU rRNA
Rfam family: Archaeal small subunit ribosomal RNA
Source: RNAcentral